Corythoichthys intestinalis (scribbled pipefish) is the source of this 245-nucleotide long non-coding RNA. RefSeq lists it as uncharacterized. NCBI's taxonomy places the organism in Eukaryota, Metazoa, Chordata, Actinopteri, Syngnathiformes, Syngnathidae. The record is from RefSeq and is a predicted model, not a curated record. The transcript is spliced from 3 exons.
GGACCACAGUUGACAGACAUGUACAACAUCUGAACCCUGAAAAAGAUAAAGGAAAGAUCCCAACAGGGGAAAAUGGUCAACUUUGGGAAGUGCCACAGAUGAGGGCUCCGCCUGCAGGAUGACCAGAAGGAUGGUGCCCCACCGCUCUAAAAUAACUGUGGAUUUUUGAAGGUUGGAGGAAGAAGAAUAUAUUGCAUGUACAGCAAAAAGACGUGGCGAAGCUCUCUGCGCUGCAGUGGGUGAGA